CUGUGUUUUGUUGCAUGUAUAAUAGUUUAUAUACUAGAUUGGCAAGUUCAUUACAUGAAAGAUUUAAACAGAGUCGACAGAUACAGGUACAGAAAAGCGUUGUUCAUCGGCUUCACGCCAUCUUUCAGUCUAAGGUAGCAGGUAGUCCGAGAGGGAGUGUGACAUGUGAAGUUUCCAUAUGGUUUUGCAUCCAACAUAUCUCAUUGUGUUAAUUUGAAGGAAGUCAAAAUAUAUGGUUUAAAGAGCCAUGAUUGUCAUGUUUUAUUACAAAGACUUCUCCUAAUCGGCAUUCGACCAUAUCCACGUAAGGACAUUUCUACUACUAUAUCAGAGUUGUCAAAUUUCUUCCAUGCUCUAUGUAAAAACACUUUGAGCAUAUCAGAACUAGACAAAAUGCAAGAUGAUAUAGUACUCAUCUUAUGUAAGUUGGAAAAGAUCUUCCCACCAGCUUUUUUUGACGUGAUGGUCCAUUUAGCUGUCCAUUUGUCGUGGGAAGCAAGAAUUGUUGGACCUGUUGGAUAUAGUUGGAUGUAUCCAAUCGAAAGGAGUUUGCGUUACUUGAAGCAAUAUGUUAGAAACAUAGCUCGACCUGAGGGUUCAAUUGCAGAAGCUUAUGCCAUAAAUGAAUCCUUGAACUUUUGUUCUAUGUAUUUACGUGACAUUGAAACAAGGUUUAAUAGAGGAGAUCGAAAUAAUGAUGACAUUGAUGAUGGAGAUCAACAAUUGUGGUCUAUCAAUUUUCUCUCACAUAAGGUGGUUAGGUGGUGCCCUAUUUCGACAACUAACCCCUGAUGAGUUAGAGAAAUCACAUUGGUAUAUUCUAAACAACUAUGAUGAAGUGGAACCUUAUCUCCAGUACAUAUCGCUUUGUUUAAAUUCAUUUUUAAUAUUUUAAAUAUGACUAAAAGGUUACACGAAGUUGCAAAACAUAGGGAGCAUAUGAGGAUCCUUGAGUCGAGUAAUGGAAAUGGUGAUUUGUAUAAAAGACAAUAAUUAGAAUUCCCUACUUGGUUCAAAGCAAAGGAUGUCAUCAAGAAAUUUUGGACCGGGAAAUCGUAGUAGGUCAGCUUCAAAUGUGAACGAAGCAAACAAUUCUAAUCGAAAUAGUAUUGGUGAGCAAGAAGUUGUGUCCAUAGAUUCAGACAUUCAAAGUUCUAGUACAAAAACAAAAGGCCAAGGAGCAACUAGAGGGGUUGGACUUGAGAAAUAUGUCCAAGCAAAUGGUCCCAUUCGAAUUAGAAUUGACUUUGAAGAUAGAAAACCAAUUUGUAAGGACUCCUCCAAGUUAAACUCUCAAAUUGGAAAAGAGGUACGAGCAGUAGUACCACUUAAAUGUGAACAUUGGUCAGAUGUAUUGAAAGAGGUGAAAAAGGAGAUAGUAGAUAGACUUUCGAAUUACUUCAUUACUUAAAUGAACCUUUGGUUCAAGAUUAUCUUGAACAUGAGAUGAGUGUGUUGUAUAGAGACUUUCGUUGUUCACUACACAAAAGCUACAAAAGUAUGACUCUCCAGCUGAAGCACGAAAACACCGUGACAAAUGAGUGGCACGAGAUUCAGAUUGGGCUCGUUUAUAUGAUGGAUGGGUACGAGAAGACUUUAAGAGUAUAUCUGAAGCAAAUACUAAGGCAUGAUCUAAACUUCCAUUCACCCAUCGAGGUGGAACUUCAACAUUUUUACGCCAUAAGCAGAAAAUGAAAGAAGAGGGUAAGGAAGUAAGUGAGAUUAAAUUAUUUCAACUCACGCAUUCCAAUAAGAAGAAGGGGUGGGUGAAUAAGCCAAAAGCGAAAUAUGAUGAGAUGGUGGAAUUAGAAACAACUUCAUCACAAGAAGGGAGUGAACCUCUUCUAGAAAGGGAAAUAUGUGAACGGGUAUUGGGUAAGCGGUCGGGGCAUGUGAAAGGACAAGGUUGGGGACCAAGGCCCAAGAAUGCUAGAAAUGAAACAAUUCAACACAACACAAAAGAAGAAAAUCCACAGAUUGCUCACUUGCAAAGUAUAGUUGAAUCGCAACAAGCUACAAUCGAAACAAUUUUAAAAAGAUUAUCCUGUCAAGAAGCUACCUCCAACAUGGAACGAAGUUCUGAACAAUCAAAUGAUAGUCAACAGAUUUGACGCACAAUGGACUUUUGAUGAAUAUGACAAGAGUUUGGUUCAUAUCUUAUAAUUUUAUGUUAUGCACAUACUUUUGGUCCAAGUAGGAUUUUUUUGUUGUACACAAUACUUUUAGUUUGUAGGUGUAACUUCUUGGUUAUAGCUUGGAACUAACUAGAUGUAACUUAGUGCUUAUAACUUAUGUUGACAUUACU
Molecule: long non-coding RNA, 2305 nt
Organism: Cucumis melo (muskmelon)
Lineage: Eukaryota; Viridiplantae; Streptophyta; Magnoliopsida; Cucurbitales; Cucurbitaceae
Exons: 8
Source: RefSeq, a predicted model, not a curated record